UAACGCGUGAGGAACCUGCCUUCCAGAGGGGGACAACAGUUGGAAACGACUGCUAAUACCGCAUGACACAUGACCGUGGCAUCACGGACAUGUCAAAGAUUUAUCGCUGGAAGAUGGCCUCGCGUCUGAUUAGCUGGUAGGCGGGGUAACGGCCCACCUAGGCGACGAUCAGUAGCCGGACUGAGAGGUUGACCGGCCACAUUGGGACUGAGAUACGGCCCAGACUCCUACGGGAGGCAGCAG
This 243-nucleotide ribosomal RNA is filed under the name uncultured bacterium. RNAcentral's name for it is "partial 16S ribosomal RNA". It matches the Rfam family "Bacterial small subunit ribosomal RNA", at positions 111 to 354 of the family's 1533-position model. The record is from RNAcentral.